UGACUUUUUCCUUAAUCAAACUUCUUUAAAUUUGACCAAGUUUAUAGAAAAACAUAUCAACAUUUUUAACUCCAAACAAACAUACUAUGAAAAUGUAUUCAAUAUUAGGUUUAAUGGAACUAAUUUGGUGUUAUAAGAGUUACUACAUUUCUAUAUAAACUUGGUCAAGCUUAUAGAAGUUUGAUUAGGAAAAAAGUCAA
Oryza sativa Indica Group (long-grained rice) is the source of this 200-nucleotide microRNA precursor. It matches the Rfam family "MIR1435 microRNA precursor family". The record is from Rfam. Lineage: Eukaryota; Viridiplantae; Streptophyta; Magnoliopsida; Poales; Poaceae.